Long non-coding RNA from Topomyia yanbarensis, 1232 nucleotides. RefSeq lists it as uncharacterized. The transcript is spliced from 3 exons. NCBI's taxonomy places the organism in Eukaryota, Metazoa, Arthropoda, Insecta, Diptera, Culicidae. The record is from RefSeq and is a predicted model, not a curated record.
GUUUCAGUGCGUUUGCCAUCAGAUGUCGCUUCUGACUGUUGAAAAGAGAUCAGCUGUUAUUUGUUUAUAUUUUUGCUGAAAAUAAAAUUAUUGAUCAUUUCCAAAAAGCAAAAUAUAUUUUCAUAAUGUAAUGUUUUUUACUCUAAUUUUUUGAGCCGAGGUGUAAAUUAUACAACUAGACAAUUUGUGUAGACCCUAAAAGUCCAGUGAAAAGUGACUACCUCUCAGUAUGAAGUGCAAAUGAUAGGUGCAGAUUUCUAUGGAAAAACAGCUUCCGCCAAUGUUCAUGUGGUACAGCGGUCCGAAUACGGAAGCACUUAUACCAGUGAGAAGGUUGUUGAGUAGCACAAUUUAAACUUCUACAAGAAAGUCUCGUUAGGUGGUUGUAGUUGUUGGUUACAACCAAGUCAUCUUCAAGUUAACAAGACUAUUCAAUUCUGCGGAGCACCGAAGGGAUCGAUCACAAUAAAUAGAACGAUCCCUUUCAAGGUUCAAUUCAACCAAAAGCAGCUACGUUUAGCGUCAACGCUUACUAGCAGCUAAUAUUAAAAAAGACUGCAGAGCCCAGAACAACCGUAAGAUCACCUACAAAAUCGAUACCCGUGCGCCUUGUUUUUUUGUAAGUGUAUUUCUUCAAGCUGACGCUACCGCCGACAUCAACUAAGCCACUGUAAUCACACUCUACAAAGUCAUCCACGCACUCGUCAAGAUUAACCUGAACAUAUAUUGCGAACUUUGGUUCCAAAUCGCACCAAGUAUAGUUAUCGGGGGCGGCGCUAAAAGCGUGAAGCACCUUUAGCUAUAAACAAGUUCUUUCAAUACCGACUGUCAGUAUUAGUCUACACUACUUUCUAUUUAUUUUAGGUCUUUCAAUUCAAUUGAUUCUCGCUACCAAAACUAUUUGGAAAAAUGAGUGUAAGGCUUGUCCACUCCUUUGUAUUGGUCAUACUUUUGCAAUAACGGGAAUCAAAUUAAUAAUAAAUGCGUCAUAAGAUCCGACAAAUUUGUCUAAGUCCGUCAGUCCGAGUUUAUUCUUGUUACAGUAUCUGAAAUACUGCGUCAUAACGUCCGGAAUCUCAUGACGCACACUGACAUUGAAAUGUUAUGACACAGAGGUAAUGCUUAGUAUUCUGGUUCAUACUAAAACUAAAAAGCAAUAUUACUAAAAAAUACUGAACGAUUUUCGUUGAGAUCUCGGUUGAGAAAUUACUGUCAUGUGAUUUCUCUGAACA